GAUGAAGAACGUAGCGAAAUGCGAUAAGUAGUGUGAAUUGCAGAAUUCAGUGAAUCAUCGGAUCUUUGAACGCACAUUGCGCCCGCCAGUAUUCUGGCGAGCAUGCCUGUUCGAGCGUCAUUUCAACCAUCAAGCCCCAGGCUUGUGUUGGAGCCCUGCGGCUGCCGCAGCCUCCCAAAACCAGUGGCGGGCUCGCUAUCACACCGAGUGCAGUAGUUUACUCUUCGCUCAGGGCGUGUGGCGGGUGCUAGCCGUGAAACCCCCAACUUCUCAAGGUUGACCUCGGAUCAGGUAGGAAUACCCGCUGAACUUAAGCAUAUCAAUAAGCGGAGGA
RNAcentral lists this unclassified non-coding RNA (334 nucleotides) under soil metagenome. RNAcentral describes it as "partial contains 5.8S ribosomal RNA, internal transcribed spacer 2, and large subunit ribosomal RNA". The stretch from base 1 to 120 matches the Rfam family "5.8S ribosomal RNA", at positions 35 to 154 of the family's 154-position model. The record is from RNAcentral.